AACCAGCACCUCAAGUGGUCAGGAUGAUUAUUGGGCCUAAAGCAUCCGUAGCCUGUUCUAUAAGUUUCCGGUUAAAUCCAUACGCUCAACGUAUGGGCUGCCGGAAAUACUGCAGAACUAGGGAGUGGGAGAGGUAGACGGUACUCGAUAGGAAGAUGUAAAAUUCUUUGAUCUAUUGAUGACCACCUGUGGCGAAGGCGGUCUACCAGAACACGUUCGACGGUGAGGGAUGAAAGCUGGGGAGCAAACAGG
RNAcentral lists this ribosomal RNA (252 nucleotides) under uncultured archaeon. Its description in RNAcentral is "partial 16S ribosomal RNA". It matches the Rfam family "Archaeal small subunit ribosomal RNA", at positions 474 to 727 of the family's 1478-position model. The record is from RNAcentral.